GACGAACGCUGGCGGCGUGCUUAACACAUGCAAGUCGAACGGAAAGGCCCUGCUUUUGUGGGGUGCUCGAGUGGCGAACGGGUGAGUAACACGUGAGUAACCUGCCCUUGACUUUGGGAUAACUUCAGGAAACUGGGGCUAAUACCGGAUAGGAGCUCCUGCUGCAUGGUGGGGGUUGGAAAGUUUCGGCGGUUGGGGAUGGACUCGCGGCUUAUCAGCUUGUUGGUGGGGUAGUGGCUUACCAAGGCUUUGACGGGUAGCCGGCCUGGGAGGGUGACCGGCGACAUUGGUACUGAGAUACGGCCCAGUCUCCUACGGUAGGCAGCAGUGGGGAAUAUUGCACAGUGGGCGGAAGCCUGAUGCAGCAACGCCGCGUGCGGGAUGACGGCCUUCGGGUGGUAAACCGCUUUCGCCUGUGACGAAGCGUGAGUGACGGUAAUGGGUAAAGAAGCACCGGCUAACUACGUG
Molecule: ribosomal RNA, 468 nt
Filed under: uncultured bacterium
Lineage: Bacteria
Description: partial 16S ribosomal RNA
Rfam family: Bacterial small subunit ribosomal RNA
Source: RNAcentral